UACGUAGGGGGCAAGCGUUGUCCGGAUUUAUUGGGCGUAAAGAGCGUGUAGGCGGCCAUACAGGUCCGUUGUGAAAACUCGAGGCUCAACCUCGAGACGUCGAUGGAAACCGUAUGGCUAGAGUCCGGAAGAGGAGAGUGGAAUUCCUGGUGUAGCGGUGAAAUGCGCAGAUAUCAGGAAGAACACCUAUGGCGAAGGCAGCUCUCUGGGACGGUACUGACGCUGAGACGCGAAAGCGUGGGGAGCAAACAGG
Molecule: ribosomal RNA, 253 nt
Filed under: uncultured bacterium
Lineage: Bacteria
Description: partial 16S ribosomal RNA
Rfam family: Bacterial small subunit ribosomal RNA
Source: RNAcentral